This 252-nucleotide ribosomal RNA is filed under the name uncultured bacterium. RNAcentral describes it as "partial 16S ribosomal RNA". It matches the Rfam family "Bacterial small subunit ribosomal RNA", at positions 524 to 776 of the family's 1533-position model. The record is from RNAcentral.
UACGGAGGAUGCGAGCGUUAUCCGGAUUUGUUGGGUUUAAAGGGUGCGCAGGCGGCACGGCAAGCCGGCGGUCAAAUCGCGGGGCUCAACCCCGCCCAGCCGUCGGAACUGCCGGGCUAGAGUGGGCGAGAAGUGCGCGGAAUGCGUGGUGUAGCGGUGAAAUGCAUAGAUAUCACGCAGAACUCCGAUUGCGAAGGCAGCGCACCGGCGCCCUACUGACGCUCAGGCACGAAAGCGUGGGUAUCGAACAGG